AGUUGGUGCAGUUCUAAGCAGAGCGUCGUGGCGGGAUCUACGUGUGAAGCGGAAUACAUAGCUUCUUCGGAAGUAGCAAAUGAAGGAGUCUGGAUGAAGGAGUUCAUAUCUGAUCUAGGUGUAAUACCUAGUGCAUCGGGUCCAAUGAAAAUCUUUUGUGACAAUACUGGUGCAAUUGCCUUGGCAAAGGAAUUCAGAUUUCAUAAGAGAACCAAGCACAUCAAGAAACGCUUCAAUUCCAUCCGCGAUCAAGUCAAGGAAGGAGACAGAGAUUUGCAAGAUACAUACAAAUCUGAAUGUUGCAGACCCGUUGACUAA
This 318-nucleotide ribosomal RNA is filed under the name Triticum aestivum (bread wheat). RNAcentral describes it as "partial small subunit ribosomal RNA". The record is from RNAcentral. Lineage: Eukaryota; Viridiplantae; Streptophyta; Magnoliopsida; Poales; Poaceae.